This 253-nucleotide ribosomal RNA is filed under the name uncultured bacterium. RNAcentral's name for it is "partial 16S ribosomal RNA". It matches the Rfam family "Bacterial small subunit ribosomal RNA", at positions 524 to 776 of the family's 1533-position model. The record is from RNAcentral.
UACGGGGGGGGCAAGCGUUGUUCGGAAUUACUGGGCGUAAAGGGUUCGUAGGUGGCCAACUAAGUCAGACGUGAAAUCCCUCAGCUUAGCUGGGGAACUGCGUCUGAUACUGGUUGGCUUGAGUGCAGGAGAGGAACGCGGAAUUCCAGGUGUAGCGGUGAAAUGCGUAGAUAUCUGGAGGAACACCGGUGGCGAAGGCGGCGUUCUGGACUGCAACUGACACUGAGGAACGAAAGCCAGGGGAGCAAACGGG